This 253-nucleotide ribosomal RNA is filed under the name uncultured bacterium. RNAcentral's name for it is "partial 16S ribosomal RNA". It matches the Rfam family "Bacterial small subunit ribosomal RNA", at positions 524 to 776 of the family's 1533-position model. The record is from RNAcentral.
GACGAACCGGACAAACGUUAUUCGGAAUCAUUGGGCUUAAAGGGUGCGUAGGCGGUGCUGUAAGUCGGGUGUGAAAUGCCUCAGCUCAACUGAGGAAUUGCGCCCGAUACUGCGGUGCUUGAGGGAGACAGAGGUAAGCGGAACUGAUGGUGGAGCGGUGAAAUGCGUUGAUAUCAUCAGGAACACCAGUGGCGAAAGCGGCUUACUGGGUCUCUUCUGACGCUGCGGCAAGAAAGCUAGGGUAGCAAACGGG